AGAGAAGUCUCCAAGCCACAUGCCUCUCCCCCACCUCCUCAGCCGGCUGGGCUGCUGCCAGAUCUGCAGAAGCAAACUGCCAGGAAAACAAAACAAAACAAAAACAAUAAAACCUCCUUUGCUUUGAACUUGUGGAAGAAACUGAGUCAGGCCAUUAGAUCUGGCAGUUUGAACACCGUCUCCAAGGCAUGAUCAGGCCGGGCGGAAGUGCGGCAUUCACCUCAUCUUUAAAAAAGCCAACCUGAAUAAAGGACCAUCUAGUGUGUUUGCUUAUUAUGGGGGGCAGUAGAACCAAAGAGCCUCAGCCCCGAUGAACUACUCAAUUUGAUGAGGACACAGACAGUGACAAUUGGAGGUGAUCUUGGAAAGCCCAGAACCCAAGGCCUCCUGUGGG
Molecule: long non-coding RNA, 394 nt
Filed under: Equus caballus (horse)
Lineage: Eukaryota; Metazoa; Chordata; Mammalia; Perissodactyla; Equidae
Description: lncRNA (ENSECAG00000044553.1)
Source: RNAcentral